ACGAAAUAUGAAAUGACCUCUUCCCCUAUCGUUAAAGCGUGAGAUACAUUUUUAAAACCAGUGAUUUAAUUCCAAAUAUUUAGUACCUACAUUUUAACACAUGUUAUAAUUCCAAAAUGUUUACUAUUUCUUACAGAUAAAGGGUCCUGUUAGCCCCGACCUGUAACUGACAGUUAGACUUACAGGUUAUGUCGUUGUCUUUUGUUUGUAUUGUUUAUGUGUCCGCUGUGCGGGGAAAAUGAUAAUACAAGCGGAACUACGUAGCUAAUACUGUUGUAACGGGGAUCCUUAUUGUAGCAACACACUUUUGUAGGGAAGGCAAUCCUGCGCUGCGUUAGCUAAAUUUUCAUGUCAUCGGGUGUAGUUCAUAAAGGUUGAAGAGUGUAUGUUAGGAUGAAGUGUGAAUUCAUGCCAGGAAUAAUAAGUGUGAAGUUUGAUUUCCUCCCUUCUGUAAUAAGCAGCCAAUGAGAUCAAACGUCCUGCCUGUAAAUCCUGGGUAUGCCCACAUCAUUAAUGAAUAAGAUGUGUAGAAAACUGUUUAGCCAUAGUUAAAGGCCUUUCAUAAAGAGGCUGUCAUGAUUGCCUGUGCCUCAUGUUUAACACGUAUUGCUUGUUACCGAAUACUACUGUUGUACAUUUAAUAUCUACUAGCCGAUUUCGUCGCAUUUGCACAAAUUCUGUCAUGUUACUGUGGUCUUUUUAAAAGUCAAUAAAUAUGUGUGUAGAGUGUACAUGUUUGUUUCACUGUAGAUCUGUUUAAGACCUCCUAGAAACACCUAAUUUCAUCCCACAGCAUUAAUUAAUAAGCUGUGUAGAAGCUGUUUAGCCAUAAGUAAAGGCCUUUCAUAAAGCAGCUGUCAUGAUUGCAUGUCCCUUAUGUUUAACACGUAUUGCUUGUUACAGAAUACUACUGUUGUACAUUUAAUAUCCCCUAGCAGAUUUCGUUGCCUUUGCACAAAUUCUGUCAUGUUACUGUGGUCUUUUUAAAAGUCAAUAAAAAUGUGUGUAAAGUGUCCAUGUUUGUUUCACUGUAUAUUUGUUUAAGCCCUCCUAGAAACACCUAAUUAAAGGCCUUUCAUAAAGAGGCGGUCAUGAUUGCAUGUGCCUCAUGUUUAACACGUAUUGCUUGUUACAGAAUACUACUGUUGUACAUUUAAUAUCCCCUAGCAGAUUUCGUUGCCUUUGCACAAAUUCUGUCAUGUUACUGUGGUCUUUUUAAAAGUCAAUAAAUAUGUGUGUAAAGUGUA
Molecule: long non-coding RNA, 1247 nt
Organism: Oncorhynchus nerka (sockeye salmon)
Lineage: Eukaryota; Metazoa; Chordata; Actinopteri; Salmoniformes; Salmonidae
Exons: 2
Source: RefSeq, a predicted model, not a curated record